CGGCAUCAUUCUUCGGUGCACGAGGGAUAUGAGCAGAGAGCUCAUUAAUCAGUGCUCCCUCGCCAGUGCCGCCUGCCCGCAUGGAAUGUUAGUUAGUCGCACAACUGCCUGCCUCCCUUCCUUCCACUGGACCCCAGGUUAAAAAAAAAUGAAAAUAGAAAAAGUAAUGGUUAAUGUUUGGGGAGACGGGGGGAGAGGGAAGGGGGCUGUCAGUGUGUGUAUGUCUGAGUGAUUGUGUGUGUCUGGCUGUCAGUGUGUGUAUGUCUGUCAGUGUGUCUGUCACCGUGUGGCUGUCUGUCACUGAGUGAGAGUGUGUAUGUGUGUCUGUCAGUGAAUACGUGUUUGUUUCCGAGUGAUUGUGUCUGUGAGGGUGCCUGUGUGUCUGAGUGAUUGUGUGUGUGUCUGUCAGUGAAUGUGUGUGUGUGUGUCAGUGAAUAUGUUUGUUUCUGAGUGAUUGUGUCUGUGAGGGCGUCUGUGUGUCUGAGUGAUUGUGUAUACCUGUCAGUGUGUGUGUCUGCAUCAUUGUGUGUGUAUGUCAGUGAUUGUGUGUAUGUCAGUGAGUCAGUGAUUGUUUGUGUCAAACCAGUUUUUGUAUGUCAUUGUAUCUGAGAGUGUGUCUGUCAGUCAAAGUGUGUGUUAGUCGUUUAACAGGAAGAGGUGCGGC
This is a non-coding RNA of Pelobates cultripes (western spadefoot toad), 664 nucleotides long. Lineage: Eukaryota; Metazoa; Chordata; Amphibia; Anura; Pelobatidae. The record is from the annotation of a GenBank genome assembly.